Molecule: ribosomal RNA, 484 nt
Filed under: uncultured bacterium
Lineage: Bacteria
Description: partial 16S ribosomal RNA
Rfam family: Bacterial small subunit ribosomal RNA
Source: RNAcentral
AUUGAACGCUGGCGGAAUGCUUUACACAUGCAAGUCGAGCGGCAGCGCGGCCUUCGGGCUGGCGGCGAGCGGCGAACGGGUGAGUAAUGCAUCGGAACAUGCCCAGUCGUGGGGGAUAACACUUCGAAAGAAGUGCUAAUACCGCAUACGUCCUGAGGGGGAAAGCGGGGGAUCGCAAGACCUCGCGCGAUUGGAGUGGCCGAUGUCAGAUUAGCUAGUUGGUGGGGUAAAGGCCUACCAAGGCGACGAUCUGUAGCUGGUCUGAGAGGAUGAUCAGCCACACUGGGACUGAGACACGGCCCAGACUCCCACGGGAGGCAGCAGUGGGGAAUUUUGGACAAUGGGGGCAACCCUGAUCCAGCCAUUCCGCGUGAGUGAAGAAGGCCUUCGGGUUGUAAAGCUCUUUCGGCAGGAACGAAACGGUGGGCUCUAACAUAGUCCGCUAAUGACGGUACCUGAAGAAGAAGCACCGGCUAACUACGUG